RNAcentral lists this transfer RNA (72 nucleotides) under Araneus ventricosus. RNAcentral describes it as "tRNA-Ala". Lineage: Eukaryota; Metazoa; Arthropoda; Arachnida; Araneae; Araneidae. The record is from RNAcentral.
UGGAGGUGCGGGGGAUCGAACCAAGGGCUUUUCGCAUGCAAAGCGAACGCUCUACGACAGAGCUACACCCCC